GACGAACGCUGGCGGCGUGCUUAACACAUGCAAGUCGAACGAAGAGCGAUGGAAGCUUGCUUCUAUCAAUCUUAGUGGCGAACGGGUGAGUAACGCGUAAUCAACCUGCCCUUCAGAGGGGGACAACAGUUGGAAACGACUGCUAAUACCGCAUACGAUCUAAUCUCGGCAUCGAGGAUAGAUGAAAGGUGGCCUCUACAUGUAAGCUAUCACUGAAGGAGGGGAUUGCGUCUGAUUAGCUAGUUGGAGGGGUAACGGCCCACCAAGGCGAUGAUCAGUAGCCGGUCUGAGGGGAUGAACGGCCACAUUGGGACUGAGACACGGCCCAGACUCCUACGGGAGGCAGCAGUGGGGAAUCUUCCGCAAUGGACGAAAGUCUGACGGAGCAACGCCGCGUGAGUGAUGACGGCCUUCGGGUUGUAAAGCUCUGUUAAUCGGGACGAAAGGCCUUCUUGCGAAUAGUGAGAAGGAUUGACGGUACCGGAAUAGAAAGCCACGGCUAACUACGU
RNAcentral lists this ribosomal RNA (509 nucleotides) under uncultured bacterium. RNAcentral's name for it is "partial 16S ribosomal RNA". It matches the Rfam family "Bacterial small subunit ribosomal RNA", at positions 28 to 506 of the family's 1533-position model. The record is from RNAcentral.